UGAAAAUUAACAAAAUUAUUUUCUGACUACCAGGAUACUUUUUUCCCUGUGAGCUGUUGAUUGCUCCUGUACUGUUGCUCCUGCUGGUCUCCAAGUCAUGGCUGAUUGCUUUCUGUGCAAUUUUGUUGGGCCAUAACCUGCCAUACUGUUGAGGAGGGAGACUCCCACACGUUCACACAUAGUUAAGAAGAGGUGAUUUCUAUGGUGAAGAACUAGGUGUUUUCUUCACAAAUGUGCUGAUGGGGAAAAUGGUAACACCUGAAGAUACAGAAGGCAGAACAAAAAACUCCUACGUGCUUCAGCUGUGGCUUCUACAAAGAAAAAAAUAGGAAUUAUUUGCAUUCCUUACAAUUAUUUUGGAACACAUCCUCAGUUGUGUAUAGACUUCUACUGUUACUGCAGUACAUGAAUGUGGGGGAAAGCAGUUUCUGCAUGCAUUCAGCUACCAGUAACUUCAGUUAGUACCUUGUCUGGAGUGUUCCUGCAACUAUCAUUUUUUCUCUUCUCUAGAACUGACUGCUUUCUCAAAUCUAUCUUUGCAAGCAGACUACCUUCCCAUCAAAUUGGGGAAAAUGAUACACAAAUUAAAAAAAAAAAAAAAAAGCAGCUUUCAUCUUUUUAUUGCUGUUCUAACAGCCUCUCUAAACCUCCAGUAUCUGAGGAGAAAGCAUCAUAUCUUCAGUUGGAAAAUAAGAAGCAACCUUAAUUCUUAUACAAGGCAGAUGUACAGACUUGCCUAGAAGACAGUAUCAAAAGAACUUGCUAAUUUUUAUUAUUUUCACGCAGUGGAAUGCAUUAAAUUACUUUUCAUAACUCUGAAAUUGUUAUUGUUCAUCUGUUACUGGAGAUCAGUGGGAAUAUUGUGUUUCCUGGUGCCCAACACUCGGGGUUUUCAUGGAAAGAGG
Molecule: long non-coding RNA, 905 nt
Filed under: Phasianus colchicus (ring-necked pheasant)
Lineage: Eukaryota; Metazoa; Chordata; Aves; Galliformes; Phasianidae
Description: lncRNA (ENSPCLG00000006685.1)
Source: RNAcentral